RNAcentral lists this long non-coding RNA (576 nucleotides) under Salmo salar (Atlantic salmon). Its description in RNAcentral is "lncRNA (ENSSSAG00000088752.1)". The record is from RNAcentral. Lineage: Eukaryota; Metazoa; Chordata; Actinopteri; Salmoniformes; Salmonidae.
GGGGUAGUUCUGCUCUAAGGUCCAGACAUGGUGGGGUAGUUCUGUUGUAAGGUCCAGACAUGGUGGGGUAGUUCUGCUGUAAGGUCCAGACAUGGUGGGGUAGUUCUGCUCUAAGGUCCAGACAUGGUGGGGUAGUUCUGUUGUAAGGUCCAGACAUGGUGGGGUAGUUCUGCUCUAAGGUCCAGACAUGGUGGGGUAGUUCUGCUCUAAGGUCCAGACAUGGUGGGGUAGUUCUGCUCUAAGGUCCAGACAUGGUGGGGUAGUUCUGUUGUAAGGUCCAGACAUGGUGGGGUAGUUCUGCUCUAAGGUCCAGACAUGGUGGGGUAGUUCUGCUCUCAGGUCCAGACAUGGUGGGGUAGUUCUGCUCUAAGGUCCAGACAUGGUGGGGUAGUUCUGCUCUAAGGUCCAGACAUGGUGGGGUAGUUCUGCUCUAAGGUCCAGACAUAGUGGGGUAGUUCUGCUCUAAGGUCCAGACAUGGUGGGGUAGUUCUGUUGUAAGGUCCAGACAUGGUGGGGUAGUUCUGCUCUAAGGUCCAGACAUGGUGGGGUAGUUCUGUUGUAAGGUUCAGACAUGGU